Pelodiscus sinensis (Chinese soft-shelled turtle) is the source of this 68-nucleotide small nucleolar RNA. Lineage: Eukaryota; Metazoa; Chordata; Testudines; Trionychidae. The record is from Rfam.
CUGGGCGUGAUGCAGAAUUUCCAACCUGACGUCGAUGAUGCUGGUUGUAUUCAUACUGUCUGAUCCAG